RNAcentral lists this ribosomal RNA (448 nucleotides) under uncultured Bacteroidota bacterium. RNAcentral's name for it is "bacterial SSU rRNA". It matches the Rfam family "Bacterial small subunit ribosomal RNA", at positions 237 to 681 of the family's 1533-position model. The record is from RNAcentral. Lineage: Bacteria; Pseudomonadati; Bacteroidota.
GACAUUAGCUUGUUGGUAAGGUAACGGCUUACCAAGGCUGCGAUGUCUAGGGGGUCUGAGAGGACUAUCCCCCACACUGGUACUGAGACACGGACCAGACUCCUACGGGAGGCAGCAGUGAGGAAUAUUGCGCAAUGGAGGAAACUCUGACGCAGCCAUGCCGCGUGCAGGAAUAAGGCCCUAUGGGUUGUAAACUGCUUUUAUACGGGAAGAAAUAUAUCUACGUGUAGAUAUUUGACGGUACCGUACGAAUAAGGAUCGGCUAACUCCGUGCCAGCAGCCGCGGUAAUACGGAGGAUCCAAGCGUUAUCCGGAUUUAUUGGGUUUAAAGGGUCCGCAGGCGGGAAAUUAAGUCAGUGGUGAAAUCCUACAGCUUAACUGUACAACUGCCAUUGAUACUGGUUUUCUUGAGUACACCUGAAGUGGGGCGGAAUGUGUCAUGUAGCGG